GAGAUUACAUACUAAUCCA
This 19-nucleotide microRNA is filed under the name Corchorus olitorius. Its description in RNAcentral is "tca-miR-3903-". The record is from RNAcentral. Lineage: Eukaryota; Viridiplantae; Streptophyta; Magnoliopsida; Malvales; Malvaceae.